UACGGAGGGUGCAAGCGUUAUCCGGAUUCACUGGGUUUAAAGGGUGCGUAGGCGGGUAGGUAAGUCAGUGGUGAAAUCUUCGAGCUUAACUCGGAAACUGCCUUUUGAUACUAUCUAUCUUGAAUAUUGUGGAGGUAAGCGGAAUAUGUCAUGUAGCGGUGAAAUGCUUAGAUAUGACAUAGAACACCUAUUGCGAAGGCAGCUUACUACGCAUAUAUUGACGCUGAGGCACGAAAGCGUGGGGGAUCAAAACAGG
This 256-nucleotide ribosomal RNA is filed under the name uncultured bacterium. RNAcentral's name for it is "partial 16S ribosomal RNA". It matches the Rfam family "Bacterial small subunit ribosomal RNA", at positions 524 to 776 of the family's 1533-position model. The record is from RNAcentral.